This 301-nucleotide ribosomal RNA is filed under the name uncultured bacterium. RNAcentral's name for it is "partial 16S ribosomal RNA". It matches the Rfam family "Bacterial small subunit ribosomal RNA", at positions 509 to 807 of the family's 1533-position model. The record is from RNAcentral.
CAGUAGCCGCGGUAAAACGGAGGGGGCUAGCGUUGUUCGGAAUUACUGGGCGUAAAGCGCACGUAGGCGGCUUUGUAAGUCAGAGGUGAAAGCCUGGAGCUCAACUCCAGAACUGCCUUUGAGACUGCAUCGCUUGAAUCCAGGAGAGGUUAGUGGAAUUCCGAGUGUAGAGGUGAAAUUCGUAGAUAUUCGGAAGAGCACCAGUGGCGAAGGCGGCUGACUGAACUGGUAUUGACGCUGAGGUGUGAAAGCGUGGGGAGCAAACAGGAUUAGAUACCCCCGUAGUCCCUGUCUCUUAUAC